Molecule: ribosomal RNA, 180 nt
Filed under: uncultured Glomeromycotina
Lineage: Eukaryota; Fungi; Glomeromycota
Description: partial small subunit ribosomal RNA
Rfam family: Eukaryotic small subunit ribosomal RNA (bases 23-180)
Source: RNAcentral
GGAUUGACACGUCGGUCGUGCCUUAAGGGGUAUGAACUGGCGUAGUCAAUUUCUCACCUUCUGGAGAACCGCGCUGUCCUUAAUUGGGUGACGCGGGGAACCAGGACCUUUACUUUGAAAAAAUUAGAGUGUUUAAAGCAGGCAUUUUGCUUGAAUACAUUAGCAUGGAAUAAUAAAAUA